UUAACUCCGAUUUGUAUGGAGUUGGAACGUUUGCCUACGUUUGCCGCUAGGGGUGCUGUUCCAACUCCAUACAUAUUCGAGUUA
Molecule: non-coding RNA, 84 nt
Organism: Bombyx mori (domestic silkworm)
Lineage: Eukaryota; Metazoa; Arthropoda; Insecta; Lepidoptera; Bombycidae
Source: Rfam